UACGUAGGUGGCAAGCGUUGUUCGGAAUUACUGGGCGUAAAGUGUGCGCAGGCGGCUCUGCAAGUCGAGUGUGAAAUCCCCGGGCUUAACUUGGGAAUGGCGCUCGAAACUACGGAGCUCGAGUAUGGCAGAGGGAGGUGGAAUUCCACGUGUAGCAGUGAAAUGCGUAGAGAUGUGGAGGAACACCGAUGGCGAAGGCAGCCUCCUGGGCCAGCACUGACGCUCAUGCACGAAAGCGUGGGGAGCAAACAGG
RNAcentral lists this ribosomal RNA (253 nucleotides) under uncultured prokaryote. RNAcentral describes it as "partial 16S ribosomal RNA". It matches the Rfam family "Bacterial small subunit ribosomal RNA", at positions 524 to 776 of the family's 1533-position model. The record is from RNAcentral.